This 330-nucleotide ribosomal RNA is filed under the name Phorbanta variabilis. RNAcentral's name for it is "partial 12S rRNA". The record is from RNAcentral. Lineage: Eukaryota; Metazoa; Arthropoda; Insecta; Hemiptera; Acanthosomatidae.
UUUUAUUAGUAUUAUUAGCUAUAAUCUUUAAAUUAAAAGAAUUUGACGGUAAUUUAUCAUUUCAGAGGAACCUGUCCUUUAAUCGAUACUCCACGCUAAAUUUUACCUUAAUUUUUGCUUAUAUACCUCUGUUGUCAGAGUGUUUUAUUAGGAAAUUAUUCUCUUAUAUUUUAUUAAAUUAUAUAUCAGGUCAAGGUUUAGUUAUAUUAAGGUUGAGAUGGGUUACAAUUAUUUUAUAAUAUUGGAUUUUAUUUUUUAUUUGAUUAAAUGAAAUUGGAUUUGAUUGUAAUAUGUAUUAUAUAUUAUAUAUGAUAUUUGUUCUAGAUUAAG